RNAcentral lists this ribosomal RNA (561 nucleotides) under Terapon jarbua (Jarbua terapon). Its description in RNAcentral is "partial 16S ribosomal RNA". It matches the Rfam family "Bacterial large subunit ribosomal RNA", at positions 1799 to 2565 of the family's 2925-position model. Lineage: Eukaryota; Metazoa; Chordata; Actinopteri; Centrarchiformes; Terapontidae. The record is from RNAcentral.
CCUGUUUUACAAAAACAUCGCCUCUUGCAAAAUCAAAGAAUAAGAGGUCCCGCCUGCCCUGUGACUUUUAAUGUUUAACGGCCGCGGUAUCUUGACCGUGCGAAGGUAGCGUAAUCACUUGUCUCUUAAAUGGGGACCCGUAUGAAUGGCAUAACGAGGGCUUAGCUGUCUCCUUUCUCUGGUCAAUGAAAUUGAUCUCCCCGUGCAGAAGCGGGGAUAAUAACAUAAGACGAGAAGACCCUAUGGAGCUUUAGACACAAGACAGACUAUGUUAAACACCCUCAAACAAGAGACUAAACCCCCAUGGCCCCUGUCCUAAUGUCUUCGGUUGGGGCGACCACGAGGAAAAAGAACCCGCGUGCGGACUGGGGGCAUACCCCCCUACUACCAAGAGCUCCCGCUCUAAUGACCAGAACAUCUGACCAAACAGAUCCGGCAUGGCCGAUCAACGGACCGAGUUACCCUAGGGAUAACAGCGCAAUCCCCUCCUAGAGCCCAUAUCGACGAGGGGGUUUACGACCUCGAUGUUGGAUCAGGACAUCCUAAUGGUGCAGCCGCUAU